UGGGGAAUAUUGCACAAUGGGCGCAAGCCUGAUGCAGCCAUGCCGCGUGUGUGAAGAAGGCCUUCGGGUUGUAAAGCACUUUCAGCGGGGAGGAAGGCGAUAAGGUUAAUAACCUUGUCGAUUGACGUUACCCGCAGAAGAAGCACCGGCUAACUCCGUGCCAGCAGCCGCGGUAAUACGGAGGGUGCAAGCGUUAAUCGGAAUUACUGGGCGUAAAGCGCACGCAGGCGGUCUGUCAAGUCGGAUGUGAAAUCCCCGGGCUCAACCUGGGAACUGCAUCUGAUACAGGCAAGCUUGAGUCUCGUGGAGGGGGGUAGAGUUCAAGGUGUAGCGGUGAAAUGCGUAGAGAUCUGGAGGAAUACCGGUGGAGAAGGCGGCCCCCUGGACGAAGACUGACGCUCAGGUGCGAAAGCGUGGGGAGCAAACAGG
RNAcentral lists this ribosomal RNA (429 nucleotides) under Chloroflexota bacterium. RNAcentral describes it as "Chloroflexi bacterium partial 16S ribosomal RNA". It matches the Rfam family "Bacterial small subunit ribosomal RNA", at positions 355 to 776 of the family's 1533-position model. Lineage: Bacteria; Bacillati; Chloroflexota. The record is from RNAcentral.